This 292-nucleotide ribosomal RNA is filed under the name uncultured Alphaproteobacteria bacterium. Its description in RNAcentral is "partial 16S ribosomal RNA". The record is from RNAcentral. Lineage: Bacteria; Pseudomonadati; Pseudomonadota; Alphaproteobacteria.
GGACUACAGGGGUUUCUAAUCCUGUUUGCUCCCCACGCUUUCGCGCAUCAGCGUCAGUAACGGGCCAGUGUGUCGCCUUCGCCACUGGUGUUCUUCCGAAUAUCUACGAAUUUCACCUCUACACUCGGAGUUCCACACACCUCUCCCGUACUCAAGACAGCCAGUAUCGAAGGCAGUUCCAGGGUUGAGCCCUGGGCUUUCACCCCCGACUAAACUGUCCGCCUACGCGCCCUUUACGCCCAGUAAUUCCGAGCAACGCUAGCCCCCUUCGUAUUACCGCGGCUGCUGGCAC